UUUCUAACUCCCAGAAAAUAAAAGGGCGCGCGAGCCCAACAGUUUCACAAAUUCAUCAAAGUUAAAUCCUGUCUAUGAUAAUAUUGAUGAUUUCCAAACAAAAACGGAAGAUGUGGAAACAAAGAUGUCCUACAAUAUCAGUUUAUGAUGGUUGUACAUUGGAUGUCUGGUAUUCCAGCAUCUCAGCCCUGUACCUCUCCUUAUCUCUCGCACCUUUUUCCUGAUAAACCUGUUUUUCGGCCUCUGUGAGUCGACUCCAAAGAAUUCCAAUCCUUUUGCUGAUAGCUCUCUCUUGCCCCUGAUAUGAAGGCUUCAACGUUGCAUAAUGCUCAGCAAAGAAAAAAUUAUAACCACUUCGAUUUGGCUUGGGUCGAGAGGGGUCCUUCAAAGCCAACUGUCUUUUCCUAAUCCUUUGGGAAGGUGUAGCCAAAGUAUUCACCUUUUGGAAUUGAUUUGGUAAUGCAGGUAUAUGAUACAGUACACCAUUUAAAUUCUCCGAGCCCAGGUUCACAGAGAUUACAUAACCGUAAUCAAACUUCGCAUCAAUUGUUCCUACCAG
Molecule: unclassified non-coding RNA, 559 nt
Filed under: Hevea brasiliensis (rubber tree)
Lineage: Eukaryota; Viridiplantae; Streptophyta; Magnoliopsida; Malpighiales; Euphorbiaceae
Source: RNAcentral